This 383-nucleotide ribosomal RNA is filed under the name uncultured eukaryote. RNAcentral's name for it is "SSU rRNA". It matches the Rfam family "Eukaryotic small subunit ribosomal RNA", at positions 587 to 972 of the family's 1831-position model. The record is from RNAcentral.
AGCUCCAAAAGUGUAUAUUUAAGUUGUUGUGGUUAAAAAGCUCGUAGUUGGAUUUUGGGCGCAGGCGGCCGGUCCGUCGCAAGGCGUGCACUGGCCGCACCUGGCCCUCGAACCCGGCGCUCCGCCGGUGCUCUUGACUGAGUGUCGGCGGCGGCCGGGAAGUUUACUUUGAAAAAAUUAGAGUGUUCAAAGCAGGCGGCUCGCCUGAAUAACGGUGCAUGGAAUAAUGGAAUAGGACCUCGGUUCUAUUUUGUUGGUUUUCGGAGCGCGAGGUAAUGAUUAAGAGGGACGGACGGGGGCAUUCGUACUGUGCCGUUAGAGGUGAAAUUCUUGGAUCGGCGCAAGACGAGCGACUGCGAAAGCAUUUGCCAAGAAUGUUUUCU